GACGAACGCUGGCGGCGUGCUUAACACAUGCAAGUCGAGCGAUGAAGCACCUUCGGGUGUGAAUUAGCGGCGAACGGGUGAGGAACACAUGAAGAAUCUGCCUUCAACUCUGGGAUAACUCCGGGAAACCGGGGCUAAUACCGGAUAUGAGCCUUGAUCGCAUGAUCGGGGCUGGAAAGUUUUUCGGUUGAAGAUGACUUCGCGGCCUAUCAGCUUGUUGGUGAGGUAAUGGCUCACCAAGGCGACGACGGGUAGCCGGCCUGAGAGGGCGACCGGCCACACUGGGACUGAGACACGGCCCAGACUCCUACGGGAGGCAGCAGUGGGGAAUAUUGGGCAAUGGAGGAAACUCUGACCCAGCGACGCCGCGUGAGGGAUGAAGGCCUUCGGGUUGUAAACCUCUUUCAGUAGGGAAGAAGCGAAAGUGACGGUACCUACAGAAGAAGCACCGGCUAACUAUGUGCCAGCCGCCGCCGUAA
RNAcentral lists this ribosomal RNA (479 nucleotides) under uncultured bacterium. RNAcentral's name for it is "partial 16S ribosomal RNA". It matches the Rfam family "Bacterial small subunit ribosomal RNA", at positions 28 to 523 of the family's 1533-position model. The record is from RNAcentral.